Molecule: small nucleolar RNA, 122 nt
Filed under: Meriones unguiculatus (Mongolian gerbil)
Lineage: Eukaryota; Metazoa; Chordata; Mammalia; Rodentia; Muridae
Description: Small nucleolar RNA SNORA17 (ENSMUGG00000025782.1)
Rfam family: Small nucleolar RNA SNORA17
About the family: snoRNA ACA 17 belongs to the H/ACA family of snoRNAs and is predicted to guide pseudouridylation of the 28S rRNA at positions U4659 and U4598. It shares the same host gene together with ACA43.
Source: RNAcentral
CCGGCCCCUAGAGGCCUUGCGGGUGUGGCUGCUGUGUCACCUGUGUGUCAGCAGAGGUCCUGAGGAAGGAGGCUACAUCCAUGCUCCGUGUUCUACUUGUGAAUAAUCAGUAGCCUAACUAA